GGACCAUUAGUUCAGUGGUAGAACAUUUGUCUCAUAAGCGAUAUGUCGUAGGUUCGAUUCCUAUAUGGUCCA
Molecule: transfer RNA, 72 nt
Filed under: Caudoviricetes sp.
Lineage: Duplodnaviria; Heunggongvirae; Uroviricota; Caudoviricetes
Description: tRNA-Met
Rfam family: tRNA
About the family: Transfer RNA (tRNA) molecules are approximately 80 nucleotides in length. Their secondary structure includes four short double-helical elements and three loops (D, anti-codon, and T loops). Further hydrogen bonds mediate the characteristic L-shaped molecular structure. tRNAs have two regions of fundamental functional importance: the anti-codon, which is responsible for specific mRNA codon recognition, and the 3' end, to which the tRNAs corresponding amino acid is attached (by aminoacyl-tRNA synthetases). tRNAs cope with the degeneracy of the genetic code in two manners: having more than one tRNA (with a specific anti-codon) for a particular amino acid; and 'wobble' base-pairing, i.e. permitting non-standard base-pairing at the 3rd anti-codon position.
Source: RNAcentral